GACGAACGCUGGCGGCGUGCUUAACACAUGCAAGUCGAACGGAAAGGCCCUGCUUGCAGGGUACUCGAGUGGCGAACGGGUGAGUAACACGUGGGUGAUCUGCCCUGCACUUCGGGAUAAGCUUGGGAAACUGGGUCUAAUACCGGAUAGGAACCAUCUUUAGUGUGGUGGUUGGAAAGUUUUUUCGGUGUAGGAUGAGCUCGCGGCCUAUCAGCUUGUUGGUGGGGUAAUGGCCUACCAAGGCGGCGACGGGUAGCCGGCCUGAGAGGGUGUACGGCCACAUUGGGACUGGGAUACGGCGCAGACUCCUCCGGGGGGCAGCAGUGGGGAAUAUUGCACAAUGGGCGCGAGCCUGAUGCAGCGACGCCGCGUGGGGGAUGAAGGCCGUCGGGUUGUAAACUCCUUUCGCUAGGGACGAAGCUUUGUUGUGACGGUACCUAGAUAAGAAGCACCGGCUAACUACGUG
Molecule: ribosomal RNA, 466 nt
Filed under: uncultured bacterium
Lineage: Bacteria
Description: partial 16S ribosomal RNA
Rfam family: Bacterial small subunit ribosomal RNA
Source: RNAcentral